Molecule: transfer RNA, 62 nt
Filed under: Heterodontus francisci (horn shark)
Lineage: Eukaryota; Metazoa; Chordata; Chondrichthyes; Heterodontiformes; Heterodontidae
Description: tRNA-Ser(AGY)
Source: RNAcentral
GAGAGGUCUGGGACACAAAGAACUGCUAAUUCUUUACUUUCAUGGUUCAAAUCCAUGGCUCA